RNAcentral lists this ribosomal RNA (445 nucleotides) under uncultured bacterium. RNAcentral describes it as "partial 16S ribosomal RNA". It matches the Rfam family "Bacterial small subunit ribosomal RNA", at positions 354 to 796 of the family's 1533-position model. The record is from RNAcentral.
GUGAGGAAUAUUGGUCAAUGGGCGAAAGCCUGAACCAGCCAUGUCGCGUGAAGGAUGAAGGUCCUAUGGAUUGUAAACUUCUUUUGCAGGAGGGUAAAGUGAGCUACGUGUAGUUCAUUGCAAGUACCCUGCGAAUAAGCAUCGGCUAACUCCGUGCCAGCAGCCGCGGUAAUACGGAGGAUGCGAGCGUUAUCCGGAUUUAUUGGGUUUAAAGGGUGCGUAGGCGGACUAAUUAGUCAGCGGUGAAAUUUUGCGGCUCAACCGUAAAACUGCCGUUGAAACUGUUAGUCUUGAGUGCGGUAGAGGUAGGCGGAAUGUGUGGUGUAGCGGUGAAAUGCUUAGAUAUCACACAGAACACCGAUUGCGUAGGCAGCUUACUGGAGCGCAACUGACGCUGAGGCACGAAAGCGUGGGGAUCGAACAGGAUUAGAAACCCUUGUAGUCC